GAUGUGGUUCGGCGUCGUUUGUAGAAUUUGGAAAAACUUUAAAUUCUUAGGUUUGAAUCCGUGAUUAAUUCAUGAUUUUGGUGUUGUUCGGCGUGGUUUAAAGGCUCAACUAAGUUCGUAAGGGGUUUUAGGAUUAGUUGGUAUGUUUGGUUGAGGUCCCGGGGGCCUCGGGUGAGUUUCAGAUGCUUAACGGGUGAAAACUUGAACUUAGAGGAAUUUGAAAUUUUGAUAUCGAGCUCGAAAUGGAAUUUCGAAAGUGGCUGUAGGUACAUAAUGUCAUAUGUGACAUGUGUGUAAAAUUUAAAGUCAUUCGGAUUUGAUGUGGUUCGGCGUCGUUUGUAGAAUUUGGAAAAACCUUAAAUUCUUAGGUUUGAAUCCGUGAUUAAUUCAUAAUUUUGGUGUUGUUCGACGUGGUUUAAAGGCUCAACUAAGUUCGUAAGGGUUUUUAGGAUUAGUUGGUAUGUUUGGUUGAGGUCCCGGGGGCCUCGGGCGAGUUUCAGAUGCUUAACGGGUGAAAACUUGAACUUAGAGGAAUUUGAAAAUUUGAUAUCGAGCUCGGAAUGGAAUUCNUUAUCGAUUUAAUUAUAAACCGUGGCAGUAAAAGCCUUCCGAUCUGUACUCAAUUCCGAAAGUGGCUGUAGGUUGAAUUCCGAAAGUAGCUGUAGGUUCAUAAUGUCAUAUGUGACAUGUGUGUAAAAUUUAAAGUCAUUCGAUUUGAUGUGAUUCGGCGUCGUUUGUAGAAUUUUGAAAAACUUUAAAUUCUUAGGUUUGAAUCCGUGAUUAAUUCAUGAUUUUGGUGUUGUUCGGCGUGGUUUAAAGGCUCAACUAAGUUCGUAAGGGGUUUUAGGAUUAGUUGGUAUGUUUGGUUGAGGUCCCGGGGGCCUCGGGUGUGUUUCAGAUGCUUAACGGGUGAAAACUUGGACUUAGAGGAAUUUCUGAACUUU
RNAcentral lists this long non-coding RNA (944 nucleotides) under Nicotiana tabacum (common tobacco). RNAcentral describes it as "long non-coding RNA (NTAB_LNC005247)". Lineage: Eukaryota; Viridiplantae; Streptophyta; Magnoliopsida; Solanales; Solanaceae. The record is from RNAcentral.